This is a small nucleolar RNA of Rhinopithecus bieti (black snub-nosed monkey), 203 nucleotides long. Its record names the gene U3. It matches the Rfam family "Small nucleolar RNA U3". From Rfam's summary of the family: Small nucleolar RNAs (snoRNAs) are involved in the processing and modification of rRNA in the nucleolus. There are two main classes of snoRNAs: the box C/D class, and the box H/ACA class. NCBI's taxonomy places the organism in Eukaryota, Metazoa, Chordata, Mammalia, Primates, Cercopithecidae. The record is from Ensembl.
AAGACUAUGCAUUCUGGGAUCAUUUCAAUAGCUCGUUCCUAGAGAAGUUUCUCCGACCGUGCGGAGCACCGGAAGCCACCAGGAGGAGGCCAAGCGUUCCCUCCUAGCGUCUGUGUUGCUUCCCCACAAGUGCCAUUUGCCACUGACGACCGUUCUUCUGUUCCUCUGGGAGCGUAAGAGGGAGAGGAUGCAGUCUGAGAGGU